Molecule: ribosomal RNA, 482 nt
Filed under: uncultured bacterium
Lineage: Bacteria
Description: partial 16S ribosomal RNA
Rfam family: Bacterial small subunit ribosomal RNA
Source: RNAcentral
GACGAACGCUGGCGGCGUGCUUAACACAUGCAAGUCGAACGAUGAAGAAGAGAAACGCGAACUUCGGUUCAAAUUUCACUUCGGAUUAGUGGCAGACGGGUGAGUAACGCGUGAGCAACCUACCUCUUACAAAGGGAUAGCCUCGGGAAACCGUGAUUAAUACCAUAUGACACAUUCAUAAGGCAUCUUAAGAAUGUUAAAGCUACGGCGGUAAGAGAUGGGCUCGCGUCCCAUUAGCUAGUUGGUGAGGUAGCGGCCCACCAAGGCGACGAUGGGUAACCGGCCUGAGAGGGUGAACGGUCACAUUGGAACUGAGACACGGUCCAAACUCCUACGGGAGGCAGCAGUGGGGAAUAUUGCACAAUGGAGGGAACUCUGAUGCAGCGACGCCGCGUGAGCGAUGAAGGAAUUCGUUUCGUAAAGCUCUGUUCUAUGGGAAGAAAAGGACUGUACCAUAGGAGAAAGCCCCGGCUAAAUACGUG